CAGUCGCCGCGGGAAUACGGAGGGUGCAAGCGUUAAUCGGAAUUACUGGGCGUAAAGCGCACGCAGGCGGUCUGACAAGUCAGAUGUGAAAUCCCCGGGCUUAACCUGGGAACUGCAUUUGAAACUGUCAGGCUGGAGUCUUGUAGAGGGGGGUAGAAUUCCAGGUGUAGCGGUGAAAUGCGUAGAGAUCUGGAGGAAUACCGGUGGCGAAGGCGGCCCCCUGGACAAAGACUGACGCUCAGGUGCGAAAGCGUGGGGAGCAAACAGGAUUAGAUACCCCGGUAGUCCCUGUCUCUUAUAC
This 301-nucleotide ribosomal RNA is filed under the name uncultured bacterium. Its description in RNAcentral is "partial 16S ribosomal RNA". It matches the Rfam family "Bacterial small subunit ribosomal RNA", at positions 509 to 807 of the family's 1533-position model. The record is from RNAcentral.